CACGUAGGCGGCCUGUUAAGUGUGGAGUGAAAUCCCACGGCUCACCCGUGGAACUGCUUCGCAUACUGGCAAGCUCGAGGACGGUAGGGGAGAGCGGAACUCUUGGUGGAGCGGUGAAAUGCGUAGAUAUCAAGAGGAACACCGAUGGCGAAGGCAGCUCUCUGUCCGUUUCUGACGCUGAGGUGCGAAAGCUAGGGUAGCAACG
This 205-nucleotide ribosomal RNA is filed under the name uncultured bacterium. RNAcentral describes it as "partial 16S ribosomal RNA". It matches the Rfam family "Bacterial small subunit ribosomal RNA", at positions 568 to 773 of the family's 1533-position model. The record is from RNAcentral.